RNAcentral lists this ribosomal RNA (253 nucleotides) under uncultured bacterium. Its description in RNAcentral is "partial 16S ribosomal RNA". It matches the Rfam family "Bacterial small subunit ribosomal RNA", at positions 524 to 776 of the family's 1533-position model. The record is from RNAcentral.
GACAGAGGGUGCAACCGUUGCUCGGAAUCACUGGGCGUAAAGGGCGUGUAGGCGGGAAUGUAAGUCGGGCGUGAAAGCCCCAGGCUCAACCUGGGAACUGCACUCGAAACUGCGUUUCUUGAGUAUCGGAGAGGAAAGCGGAAUACCUGGUGUAGAGGUGAAAUUCGUAGAUAUCAGGUGGAACACCAGUGGCGAAGGCGGCUUUCUGGACGAUUACUAACGCUGAGACGCGAAAGCGUGGGGAGCAAACAGG